Molecule: unclassified non-coding RNA, 1767 nt
Filed under: uncultured fungus
Lineage: Eukaryota; Fungi
Description: sequence contains 18S rRNA gene, ITS1, 5.8S rRNA gene, ITS2, 28S rRNA gene
Rfam family: Eukaryotic large subunit ribosomal RNA (bases 796-1767)
Source: RNAcentral
GGAAGGAUCAUUGCACACACAAAAAACUGCAAACAACCCCCUUUUGAGAACUGUAUCUUAUUUGUACAAACCACUUUUUGUUGAGUGGUCGGACUUGCUUUGUUGUGUCUUUGUUGUUGUUGCAGAAAUGCACAGCCAGGGCGCACAGGGCAAGCUCGAACACAACACAACAUUUGCACAAUGAUUUACACAUGUUUUUUGACUGAAUUUGUAUCGAGACCCUAUGAAAUAUGCCUCUCUCUCUAUCUUCACUCUUCUUGAGUGAAUGAGUGAGUGAGUGAGUGAGAGAGGGUUUCAUGAGUUGAGAUUUUAUGAAUAAUAAAAUACAACUCUCAGCAACGGAUAUCUUGGCUCUUGCAACGAUGAAGAACGCAGCGAAAUGCGAUACGUAGUGUGAAUUGCAGAAUUCCGUGAAUCAUCGAGUUUUUGAACGCAAGUUGCGCCCGAGGCUCGUCCGAGGGCAUUCCUGCCAGAGCGUCAUCGCGACACCCACCAAUUCUCUUUACAUAUCUUUUUAUGUAGGGAGAGUUGAGUGAAACUGGCCAUCCGAAUCUCUCUGUUUAUUUAAUAAAACAAGGGAAUUGGGUUGGCUGAAAUAGAGGGGGAAAAUCCGACCGGCGUGGUGACACAGUCCGCGAUCAGGUGAUCCAAGCUUUUUUGCCUUGGAAUUAUUUUGAGUGCGUGAUUUUGUGUCCCCCAGGCUCGGAUCCCAAAGCAGGUCCUUUCUCUCCCCUCCUCCCCCUUCUCUUGAAGAAGGGGGAGCCAGGGGGGAAAAAAGAAGAAACGUCCCGCAGCAGACCUCUGAUCAGGAAAGACUACCCGCUGAGUUUAAGCAUAUCACUAAGCGGAGGAGAAGAAACUAACCAGGAUUUCCCUAGUAACGGCGAGCGAACCGGAAAGAGCCCAGCUUGAAAAUCGAGGUGCUUCGCACCUCGAAUUGUAGUCUGGAGAAGCGUCCUCUGCAGCGUGCCGGCCCCAAGUUCCCUGGAAUGGGAUGCCCAAGAGGGUGACAGCCCCGUCGUGGCCGGUUUUUUAUUGUUGCUCCACGAGGCGCGAUCUGCGAGUCGGGCUGUUUGGGAAUGCAGCCCUAAGUGGGAGGUAAAUUCCUUCUAAGGCUAAAUAUUGGCAAGAGACCGAUAGCGAACAAGUACCGCGAGGGAAAGAUGAAAAGGACUUUGAAAAGAGAGUUAAACAGUGCUUGAAAUUGCUGGGAGGGAAGCGAAUGGAAGCUGCGGGUGUGCCCCGGUUGGAUGUGGAACGGCUUCGGCUGGUCUGCCGCUCAACGCGGGGCACUGGUCAGCGUGGGCUACUUCGGCGGGACAAGAGCAGGAUGUAGUUUCCUGCCUAUGCCGCCGAGGUGGCCGAGGAACGAAGCGUGCGGCCCCCCCUGGGGGUCGUGGGACUCGUCCCAACUGCAUGCUCGGGACGCUGGCGUAUUGAGCUCUUCAUCCGACCCGUCUUGAAACACGGACCAAGGAGUCUAACAUGUAUGCAAGCAGGUGGGCGGCAAACCCAUUGAUGCGCAAGUAAACUGACAGGUGGGACCCCCCUCAAAAGGGCGCACCAUCGACCGACCGUGAUCUUCUGUGAAAGGUUUGAGUGUGAGCAUACCUGUUGGGACCCGAAAGAUGGUGAACUAUGCCUGAGCAGGGCGAAGCCAGAGGAAACUCUGGUGGAGGCUCGUAGCGAUACUGACGUGCAAAUCGUUCGUCAGACUUGGGUAUAGGGGCGAAAGACUAAUCGAACCAUCUAGUAGCUGGUUCCCUC